Marivita cryptomonadis is the source of this 67-nucleotide non-coding RNA. Lineage: Bacteria; Pseudomonadati; Pseudomonadota; Alphaproteobacteria; Rhodobacterales; Roseobacteraceae. The record is from Rfam.
CUCUGGAGAGAUUUCGGGCGUGACCCGGAACGCCGAAGGGAUAACGAUCUCAGGCAAAAGGACAGAG